GGAGGUAAAAGUCGUAACAAGGUUUCCGUAGGUGAACCUGCGGAAGGAUCAUUAUCAUAACAUCCACGUUAAACCAUUGUGAACUGUACUUUGCUACUGCGAAGGGAUUGAUUGUGCUGCUUUGAUUUCGAUCGGGUAGUCUUUCUUUUCAUUAGCUUUAGCGGUGUUCUCAUACACCAUUGAAACCAAUCAUUGAACUUUGUACUAACCAUUUCAUACUCUUGGCUAAUAACCUUGAGAUGAGAUAAAUACGAAACAUAAGAACAACUCUUAGCAACGGAUAUCUUGGCUCUC
Molecule: unclassified non-coding RNA, 294 nt
Filed under: plant metagenome
Description: partial contains small subunit ribosomal RNA and internal transcribed spacer 1
Rfam family: Eukaryotic small subunit ribosomal RNA (bases 1-54)
Source: RNAcentral